GACGAACGCUGGCGGCGUGCCUAAAACAUGCAAGUCGAACGGUGUAGCAAUACACAGUGGCGAACGGCGGAGUAAUACAUGAACAACGUGCCCUAAAGACUGGGAUAGUCAGCCGAAAGGCUGGGUAAUACCGGAUGUGGCCCUUGAUUGGCAUCAAUUGAGGAUUAAACAGUUUUUUGCUUUAGGAGCGGUUCAUGGCCUAUCAGGUAGUUGGUGAGGUAACGGCCCACCAAGCCUACGACGGGUAGCGGGUCUGAGAGGACGAUCCGCUCGAGUGGGACUGAGACACGGCCCACACACCUACGGGUGGCAGCAGUUGGGAAUCUUGCACAAUGGGGGAAACCCUGAUGCAGCGACGCCGCGUGGAGGAUGAAGGAUCUAGGUCUGUAAACUCCUUUUGUUGGGAAAGACUUAGGACGGUACCCAACGAAUAAGCACCGGCUAACUACGUGC
RNAcentral lists this ribosomal RNA (453 nucleotides) under uncultured bacterium. RNAcentral's name for it is "bacterial SSU rRNA". It matches the Rfam family "Bacterial small subunit ribosomal RNA", at positions 28 to 508 of the family's 1533-position model. The record is from RNAcentral.